RNAcentral lists this ribosomal RNA (254 nucleotides) under uncultured bacterium. RNAcentral's name for it is "partial 16S ribosomal RNA". It matches the Rfam family "Bacterial small subunit ribosomal RNA", at positions 524 to 776 of the family's 1533-position model. The record is from RNAcentral.
UACGAGGGGGGCAAGCGUUGUUCGGAUUUACUGGGCGUAAAGGGCGCGUAGGCGGUCGUGACAAGUCACUUGUGAAAUCUCCGGGCUUAACUCGGAACGGUCAAGUGAUACUGUCGGACUAGAGUACAGAAGGGGCAACUGGAAUUCUCGGUGUAGCGGUGAAAUGCGUAGAUAUCGAGAGGAACACCUGCGGCGAAGGCGGGUUGCUGGGCUGAUACUGACGCUGAGGCGCGAAAGCCAGGGGAGCGAACGGG